UUUCUCGUUUCGUCAGAUUCAAACGUUUUCACUUCGCCAAGCCAUUUUUCUUUGUGUUUGCUUUUUACUAUGUAACUUUAGACAUAAAAAAAGAGACCUUGCGGUCUCAAUGCGGCUCAUCGCAUCCUGGGGCUGUAGUCGGUCCCAAGGGUUGGGCUGUUCGCCCAUUAAAGCGGUACGCGAGCUGGGUUCAGAACGUCGUGAGACAGUUCGGUCCCUAUCCGUCGUGGGCGUAGGAA
This 239-nucleotide ribosomal RNA is filed under the name Staphylococcus sp. EG-SA-26. RNAcentral's name for it is "partial 23S ribosomal RNA". It matches the Rfam family "Bacterial large subunit ribosomal RNA", at positions 2487 to 2659 of the family's 2925-position model. The record is from RNAcentral. Lineage: Bacteria; Bacillati; Bacillota; Bacilli; Caryophanales; Staphylococcaceae.